GAUGAGCGCUGGCGGUAUGCUUAACACAUGCGAGUCGAACGGACUCUUCGGAGUUAGUGGCGGACGGGUGAGUAACGCGUGAGAAUCUGGCUUUGGGUUCGGGACAACCACUGGAAACGGUGGCUAAUACCGGAUGUGCCGAGAGGUAAAAGAGAAAUUGCCUGAAGAUGAGCUCGCGUCUGAUUAGCUAGUUGGUGAGGUAAAGGCUCACCAAGGCAGCGAUCAGUAGCUGGUCUGAGAGGAUGACCAGCCACACUGGGACUGAGACACGGCCCAGACUCCUACGGGAGGCAGCAGUGGGGAAUUUUCCGCAAUGGGCGAAAGCCUGACGGAGCAAUACCGCGUGAGGGAAGAAGGCUCUUGGGUUGUAAACCUCUUUUCUUAGGGAAGAACAAAAUGACGGUACCUAAGGAAUCAGCAUCGGCUAACUCCGUG
Molecule: ribosomal RNA, 435 nt
Filed under: uncultured bacterium
Lineage: Bacteria
Description: partial 16S ribosomal RNA
Rfam family: Bacterial small subunit ribosomal RNA
Source: RNAcentral